This 421-nucleotide ribosomal RNA is filed under the name uncultured bacterium. Its description in RNAcentral is "bacterial SSU rRNA". It matches the Rfam family "Bacterial small subunit ribosomal RNA", at positions 360 to 773 of the family's 1533-position model. The record is from RNAcentral.
AAUUUUGGACAAUGGGGGCAACCCUGAUCCAGCCAUGCCGCGUGUGUGAAGAAGGCCUUCGGGUUGUAAAGCACUUUCGGCCGGAACGAAAUCGCGCGGGUGAAUAUCCCGCGUGGAUGACGGUACCGGAAGAAGAAGCACCGGCUAACUACGUGCCAGCAGCCGCGGUAAUACGUAGGUGGCGAACGUUGUCCGGAUUCACUGGGCGUAAAGCGCGCGCAGGCGGACUGAUAAGUCAGAGGUGAAAUCUCCCGGCUCAACUGGGAGGGGCCCUUUGAUACUGUCAGUCUUGAGGCACCUAGAGGAGAGUGGAAUUCCCGGUGUAGUGGUGGAAUGCGUAGAUAUCGGGAGGAACACCAGUGGCGAAAGCGACUCUCUGGGGGUGACCUGACGCUGAGGCGCGAAAGCGUGGGGAGCAAAC